UCUCAUGGGAGUGCUUACCAAUGUGUGGCC
RNAcentral lists this non-coding RNA (30 nucleotides) under Homo sapiens (human). The record is from RNAcentral. Lineage: Eukaryota; Metazoa; Chordata; Mammalia; Primates; Hominidae.